GUGGGGAAUAUUCCGCAAUGGACGAAAGUCUGACGGAGCAACGCCGCGUGAGUGAUGAAGGUUUUCGGACUGUAAAGCUCUGUUGUUUAGGACGAAAGUGCCUGUUGCAAAUAGUUACAGGUAUUGACGGUACUGAACGAGGAAGCCACGGCUAACUACGUGCCAGCAGUCGCGGUAAUACGUAGGUGGCAAGCGUUGUCCGGAAUUAUUGGGCGUAAAGAGCAUGUAGGCGGGAAUCUAAGUCUGUUGUGAAAAUGCGGGGCUCAACCCCGUAUUGCGAUGGAAACUGGGUUUCUUGAGUGCAGGAGAGGAAAGGGGAAUUCCCAGUGUAGCGGUGAAAUGCGUAGAUAUUGGGAGGAACACCAGUGGCGAAGGCGCCUUUCUGGACUGUGUCUGACGCUGAGAUGCGAAAGCCAGGGUAGCGAACGGGAUUAGAAACCCGUGUAGUCC
Molecule: ribosomal RNA, 450 nt
Filed under: uncultured bacterium
Lineage: Bacteria
Description: partial 16S ribosomal RNA
Rfam family: Bacterial small subunit ribosomal RNA
Source: RNAcentral